AGAGUUUGAUCAUGGCUCAGGAUGAACGCUAGCGGCAGGCUUAAUACAUGCAAGUCGAGGGGCAGCGGGGUGUAGCAAUACACUGCCGGCGACCGGCAAACGGGUGCGGAACACGUACGCAAUCUACCCACAACUGGGGCAUAGCCCUCCGAAAGGAGGAUUAAUACCUCGUAACAUCACGGUGUGGCAUCACGCGGUGAUUAUAGCUCCGGCGGUUGUGGAUGAGCGUGCGGCUGAUUAGGUAGUUGGCGGGGUAACGGCCCACCAAGCCUGCGAUCAGUAACUGGUGUGAGAGCACGACCAGUCACACGGGCACUGAGACACGGGCCCGACUCCUACGGGAGGCAGCAGUAAGGAAUAUUGGUCAAUGGCCGCAAGGCUGAACCAGCCAUGCCGCGUGAAGGAUGAAGGUCCUCUGGAUUGUAAACUUCUUUUAUAGGGGACGAAACACUUCUUUUCCAAGAAGCUUGACGGUACCCUAGGAAUAAGCACCGGCUAACUCCGUGCCAGCAGCCGCGGUAAUACGGAGGGUGCAAGCGUUAUCCGGAUUCACUGGGUUUAAAGGGUGCGUAGGAGGGCAGGGAAGUCCGUGGUGAAAUCCCAGAGCUUGACUCUGGAACUGCCGUGGAUACUCUCUGUCUUGAAUGCCGUGGAGAUGAGCGGAAUAUGUCAUGUAGCGGUGAAAUGCUUAGAUAUGACAUAGAACACCAAUUGCGAAGGCAGCUCGUUACACGAACAUUGACUCUGAGGCACGAAAGCGUGGGGAUCAAACAGGAUUAGAUACCCCGGUAGUCC
Molecule: ribosomal RNA, 795 nt
Filed under: uncultured Flavisolibacter sp.
Lineage: Bacteria; Pseudomonadati; Bacteroidota; Chitinophagia; Chitinophagales; Chitinophagaceae
Description: bacterial SSU rRNA
Rfam family: Bacterial small subunit ribosomal RNA
Source: RNAcentral